CGGACCUGGCGAAGUCUCGGUUGAACUUCGCCGGUUUAGUUGUAUUCUCAUGCUUCAUACAUUCAGGUUCGCCCU
This 75-nucleotide non-coding RNA is filed under the name Saccharolobus solfataricus. The record is from RNAcentral. Lineage: Archaea; Thermoproteati; Thermoproteota; Thermoprotei; Sulfolobales; Sulfolobaceae.